UUGUACAUUCCUACAACAUUAAUGAACUAGAUCCCAUUAGAAAUCCGUAGUUAAGCGUGCUUGGAAUAGAGUAGUACUAGGAUGGGUUACCUCUCGAGAAGUCCUAGUGUUUUACAUU
Molecule: non-coding RNA, 118 nt
Organism: Picea glauca (white spruce)
Lineage: Eukaryota; Viridiplantae; Streptophyta; Pinopsida; Pinales; Pinaceae
Source: Rfam